Non-coding RNA from Punica granatum (pomegranate), 982 nucleotides. Lineage: Eukaryota; Viridiplantae; Streptophyta; Magnoliopsida; Myrtales; Lythraceae. The record is from RefSeq and is a predicted model, not a curated record.
AUCCCUUCUUUGUGUAUAACUCGGGACAUUGAAUAUCGUAUGAUAUUGCAGCGCGCAAAUGGUACCGCAGGUCGGUGGACCGGGCUCAUCUUUGACAGAUGAGGAUACAUACCGAAGCCGCGUCUUAUAUAUGAAUAGCAUGAGGACAGACACGGGCUCUGCGUAUGCUUGAAGGAUUUAGCAGAAGUCCUUGACAAAAAGUCUGCACAAAUUAUGGAAGAAAUUUCGGAUUUGACACGCCUGCCAUCACCCGAACCCAGAACCUGUGCUUCUCCGGUCAAAGAAAGAGGAGGAGUUCACGAGCAUCGAUCGCACCAUGGAAAAAUACGAAUUGGACAACGAGUUUCUCUACCGUUUGUAGUCCAAUAUCACAGUACUAAGUCUUGCUGAGUUGAUAUCAAUGCGGGAGAAGAUGCGGUUAUCUUUUUGAUAUGGAAGCGGACACAUUAAAUAACGCUACGAAGAGAUCAUAUCAGACUGUGAAGAUAGACGUGUGAUACCUUACCUGCAUCAUGACCCGAGCGAUCAGCAGCCCGGUUUAGAAAUGAGCGGAACAUGUGUUUGGUUAAUCAACGCGUGUAAAUACACUAGCAGAGACAUAUAACCGAACAUGUGUUUGAAGACCAAGGAAACUCAGCAGUGGUCCUCAACCAAGUCUGCAAUUUUUGUUGGCUCCCAAGGUUGAAAAGUAGUACAAUGUGAAACAGUAGGAAUGGAAAUGUAAGAAAAUAAUGUAGCAUAGGCAGAAACUUGAAUUUUUCAGAUGACGUGAACUUCCAAUAUCGUGGAAAACACGGCAAGCUGCCGGUACCACUGAGAGAUCAACCUGAAUUAUCGCGCGGUUAAAACUAGUAAUGGAAAUUGAGCCACGGUUGUUGAUGCAGCUCGAGUCUAUUAGUUGUUGCUUUUUAAAGUUUGAGAGAAAUUAAGCACCAUAUGUAUGAAAGAACUGAAGAGCCAAACCAUGAAUUUCCUCGAUUUA